Molecule: ribosomal RNA, 280 nt
Filed under: uncultured bacterium
Lineage: Bacteria
Description: partial 16S ribosomal RNA
Rfam family: Bacterial small subunit ribosomal RNA
Source: RNAcentral
UACGUAGGGUGCAAGCGUUUGUCCGGAAUUAUUGGGCGUAAAGAGCUCGUAGGCGGCUUGUCGCGUCGGCUGUGAAAACCUAGGGCUCAACCCUGGGCCUGCAGCCGAUACGGGCAAGCUAGAAUUCGGUAGGGGAGACUGGAAUUCCUGGUGUAGCGGUGAAAUGCGCAGAUAUCGGGAAGAACACCCGUGGCGAAGGCGGCACUCUGGGACGGUACUGGACGCUGAGACGCGAAAGCGUGGGGAGCGAACGAGGAAUUGAUGAUACCCUCGUAGGUCC